CAAACGGAGGAGUUGGAGGAGAGGAAAUGGAAGUGGUGAUAAUCUUCAAUAUCACCAAGACAAGGUGUUAAAGCUGAAGAGACUUAUCCCAGGGCGUUAAGGGAUGGGGGAGAUAAAGGGAUUGUGGAUGAGCAACUGAAUGUAAUUUCAAGACUGGACCGAACCAAAGCAGACUAAACUCUAGUUUGUAUUUAAUUACUGGUAUUUGGAGAUUAUAUCUACUCUUUCGUUGUAAGUAUUGUUUACUUGCAAAACGAUAUAGUUAAAUUUGUUACGUGAUU
This is a long non-coding RNA of Nicotiana attenuata, 281 nucleotides long. RefSeq lists it as uncharacterized. The record is from RefSeq and is a predicted model, not a curated record. Lineage: Eukaryota; Viridiplantae; Streptophyta; Magnoliopsida; Solanales; Solanaceae. The transcript has 2 exons.